AACGAACGCUGGCGGCAUGCCUAACACAUGCAAGUCGAACGAGACCUUCGGGUCUAGUGGCGCACGGGUGCGUAACGCGUGGGAACCUGCCCUUAGGUUCGGAAUAACUCCCCGAAAGGGGUGCUAAUACCGGAUAAUGUCUUCGGACCAAAGAUUUAUCGCCUUUGGGUGGGCCCGCGUUGGAUUAGCUAGUUGGUAGGGUAAAAGCCUACCAAGGCGACGAUCCAUAGCUGGUCUGAGAGGAUGAUCAGCCACAAUGGGACUGAGACACGGCCCAGACUCCUACGGGAGGCAGCAGUGGGGAAUAUUGGACAAUGGGCGAAAGCCUGAUCCAGCAAUGCCGCGUGAGUGAUGAAGGCCUUAGGGUUGUAAAGCUCUUUUACCCGGGAUGAUAAUGACAGUACCGGGAGAAUAAGCUCCGGCUAACUCCGU
RNAcentral lists this ribosomal RNA (432 nucleotides) under uncultured bacterium. RNAcentral describes it as "partial 16S ribosomal RNA". It matches the Rfam family "Bacterial small subunit ribosomal RNA", at positions 29 to 506 of the family's 1533-position model. The record is from RNAcentral.